This 492-nucleotide ribosomal RNA is filed under the name uncultured bacterium. RNAcentral describes it as "partial 16S ribosomal RNA". It matches the Rfam family "Bacterial small subunit ribosomal RNA", at positions 29 to 507 of the family's 1533-position model. The record is from RNAcentral.
AGUGAACGCUGGCGGCAUGCCUAACACAUGCAAGUCGAACGGCAGCACGGGGAGCGCGCGCCCUUGAGGUUGGCGACGGGCGGGUGAGUGAGGAGUACAUAGGCAUCUACUUUGUCGGGGGGGACAACGUAGGGACACAUACGAUAAUACAGCAUACGUUGUACGGGUGGAAGCAGGGGAUCUUCGGGGCUUUGGCGAUAGUAUGAGACGAUGUCGGAUUAGCUAGUUGGUGGGGUAAAGGCCCACCAAGGCGACGCUCCGUAGCUGGUCUGAGAGGAUGAUCAGCCACACUGGAACUGAGACACGGUCCAGACUCCUACGGGAGGCAGCAGUGGGGAAUCUUGGACAAUGGGCGCAAGCCUGAUCGAGCAAUGCCGCGUGGGUGAUGAAGGCCUUCGGGUUGUAAAGCCCUUUUGUUGGGAAAGAAAAGCAGUGUGUUAAUACACCGAUGUCCUGACGGUACCCAAAGAAUAAGCACCGGCUAACUACGUG